Eutrema salsugineum is the source of this 107-nucleotide small nucleolar RNA. It matches the Rfam family "Plant small nucleolar RNA R71". Rfam says of the family: R71 is a member of the C/D box family of snoRNAs containing the C (UGAUGA) and D (CUGA) box motifs. The record is from Rfam. Lineage: Eukaryota; Viridiplantae; Streptophyta; Magnoliopsida; Brassicales; Brassicaceae.
AAGCCGUGGUGUGGGCAUUGGUUAGUGUAGCUUCUAAACCGUUCCCAAGCUUCACUAAAGCUCUCGUUAUUGUGCUGCAUGAAACUUGAGAUCUGAUUCCUGAGCUU